GGGUCAGUAGGUUGGUCGUGCCACCGGUACGUACUGGUCUCACUGAUUCCUCCUUCCUGAAUAACCGUAAUGCCAUUAAUUUGGUGUUGCGGGGAAACAGGACUGUUACUUUGAAAAAAUUAGAGUGUUUAAAGCAAGCUAACGCUUGAAUACAUUAGCAUGGAAUAAUGAAAUAGGACGAUCGAUCGUAUUUUGUUGGUUUCUAGGAUUGACGUAAUGAUUAAUAGUGAUAGUUGUG
This 238-nucleotide ribosomal RNA is filed under the name Glomeromycotina sp. RNAcentral describes it as "partial small subunit ribosomal RNA". The stretch from base 40 to 238 matches the Rfam family "Eukaryotic small subunit ribosomal RNA", at positions 686 to 886 of the family's 1831-position model. The record is from RNAcentral. Lineage: Eukaryota; Fungi; Glomeromycota.